RNAcentral lists this microRNA precursor (104 nucleotides) under Schmidtea mediterranea. RNAcentral describes it as "microRNA sme-mir-2181 precursor". The record is from miRBase by way of RNAcentral. Lineage: Eukaryota; Metazoa; Platyhelminthes; Tricladida; Dugesiidae.
UCAACUAUUCGAUUUUGUCAUAUGCUGUUAAUUAGCGAUUGGUUUGAAAGAGUUUCUUUAACCAAUCAUAAUUCACAGCACUUGUUUAAUAUCGUGAGCCAUCA